GGACGCGAUCAUACCAGCACUAAAGAACCAGAUCCCAUCAGAACUUUGAAGUUAAGUUUGCUUGGGCAAGAGUAUUACUAGGAUGGGUGACCUCCUGGGAAGUCCUCGUGUUGCAUUCC
Molecule: non-coding RNA, 119 nt
Organism: Triticum aestivum (bread wheat)
Lineage: Eukaryota; Viridiplantae; Streptophyta; Magnoliopsida; Poales; Poaceae
Source: Rfam